This 385-nucleotide ribosomal RNA is filed under the name uncultured bacterium. RNAcentral's name for it is "bacterial SSU rRNA". It matches the Rfam family "Bacterial small subunit ribosomal RNA", at positions 28 to 419 of the family's 1533-position model. The record is from RNAcentral.
GACGAACGCUGGCGGCGUGCCUAAUACAUGCAAGUCGAGCGGACCUUUCGGGGUCAGCGGCGGACGGGUGAGUAACACGUGGGCAAUCUGCCCGAUACUCUGGGAUAACGCUUGGAAACGAGUGCUAAUACCGGAUGGUCUUCUUGGCCGCAUGGCCGAGAAGGAAAAGACGCGUUCGCGUCGGUGUCGGAUGAGCCCGCGGCGCAUUAGCUAGUUGGUGAGGUAACGGCCCACCAAGGCGACGAUGCGUAGCCGACCUGAGAGGGUGACCGGCCACACUGGGACUGAGACACGGCCCAGACUCCUACGGGAGGCAGCAGUAGGGAAUCUUCCACAAUGGGCGAAAGCCUGAUGGAGCAACGCCGCGUGAGUGAUGAAGGCCUGG